AGAGUUUGAUCCUGGGUCAGGACGAACGCUGGCGGCAUGCCUAAUACAUGCAAGUCGAACGCCAAAUCUUCCUGCUUGCAGGAAGAGGCGGAGUGGCGAACGGGUGAGUAACACGUGAGGAACUUGCCCAUAAGAGGGGGAUAACACCCGGAAACGGGUGCUAAUACCGCAUAGGUUUUCCCAGUGCAUGCUGGGAAAAUAAAAGGUGGCUCUGCUACCGCUUAUGGAUAGCCUCGCGGCGCAUUAGCUAGUUGGUAAGGUAAAGGCCUACCAAGGCCAUGAUGCGUAGCCGACUUGAGAGGGUGAUCGGCCACACUGGAACUGAGACACGGUCCAGACUCCUACGGGAGGCAGCAGUAGGGAAUCUUCCACAAUGGGUGCAAGCCUGAUGGAGCAAUGCCGCGUGAGUGAAGAAGGACUUCGGUUCGUAAAGCUCUGUUGUUGGGGAAGAACACGGAUAGGAGUCACUGCCUAUCCCUUGACGGUACCCAACCAGAAAGUCACGGCUAACUACGUGCCAGCAGCCGCGGUAAUACGUAGGUGACAAGCGUUGUCCGGAUUUAUUGGGCGUAAAGCGAGCGCAGGCGGUCCGGUAAGUCUGAUGUGAAAGCCCACGGCUCAACCGUGGAACGGCAUUGGAAACUGGCGGACUUGAAUGUAGCAGAGGAAAGUGGAAUUCCAUGUGUAGCGGUGGAAUGCGUAGAUAUAUGGAGGAACACCAGUGGCGAAAGCGACUUUCUGGGCUAUGAUUGACGCUGAGGCUCGAAAGCGUGGGGAGCGAACAGGAUCCCAUACCCUGGUAGU
This 804-nucleotide ribosomal RNA is filed under the name uncultured Alloiococcus sp. RNAcentral describes it as "bacterial SSU rRNA". It matches the Rfam family "Bacterial small subunit ribosomal RNA", at positions 8 to 794 of the family's 1533-position model. Lineage: Bacteria; Bacillati; Bacillota; Bacilli; Lactobacillales; Carnobacteriaceae. The record is from RNAcentral.